UGUCAAGGGGCAAAGCUAUCCAGUCAUCCGAAGGCAGUGACGAGUCCGACCGCCAAGGCGACUCAGAAGAUGAGGACCCAAGCUUUCAGGUGCUUAGGAUGUCGUAGAUGUUUGAUGCUCCCCUAGGAACGCAGACUCAGGGUGAAUCGAGUCAGGCACCUCAGGAUGCACCCGCUUCUCCUCCGCGUCGCCGACAAAGGCGUUCUCGUGACCACACCGACGUUGGUAGCGCGAACAUGCUCGCAACAGUUCCUGGAAGGCAACGGCGGCCCACCGACCCUUUCAGCCCUGCCGAGCGUGGAUGGCGCCAUAGAUGAAGGAGCACCGACACUUUGUUCCUAGAUGUAUUGUAAAAAUGCUACCUAGAACCUAUUUGUGCUUGUCAUGAACUAUUUGUGCUUGUCAUGGACCACUUUAGGUUGAGAUGGACAAGAUCCUUGUAAUGGACUACUGUAGGUUCCAAUGGACUAUGUGCUUGUGUGCUGACGGCUC
Long non-coding RNA from Panicum virgatum (switchgrass), 492 nucleotides. RefSeq lists it as uncharacterized. Lineage: Eukaryota; Viridiplantae; Streptophyta; Magnoliopsida; Poales; Poaceae. The transcript is spliced from 2 exons. The record is from RefSeq and is a predicted model, not a curated record.